UUUAUGUUACAGGUUCAUGUACAAUUCAUUUGACAGUUGGGCUCCCUAUUUUGUUAUACUGCUGUCUGUGAUCUGUGUCCUUUUUACAUACAUUACUGUACUAAUGCUCUUGUCCCUGUGUCACAUUGUACAUGGUCACCAACUCUAUGUACAUCCCGUACAUGUAGUAUUCAUCAUCAUCUGUUUGGCCUGCUGUGUGGCUGGAACAAUCGGUUACUCUGAGCUUUGGGCCACUGAAUGGUUCCUGAUCUGGUUGUCUCUAAAGGUCAUUGGUCCGUUCCUCCAAAUCGGAUGUGUGAUCUUGAUGA
Long non-coding RNA from Pecten maximus, 308 nucleotides. RefSeq lists it as uncharacterized. The transcript is spliced from 3 exons. The record is from RefSeq and is a predicted model, not a curated record. Lineage: Eukaryota; Metazoa; Mollusca; Bivalvia; Pectinida; Pectinidae.